CUGGAAGAGAUGCAUUGAUUAAUCAAGAGGUUGAAGAAAGGAGCGGCUAGAAGUGGCGCAAACAGACCGAGGAUAGCCUAGUCUUAUCCGCACGGAUUAUCGCACUACUACUUCUGCCGACUGAAGGUUUUGUUUGCUAAUCGCGAUGAUAAGAGGUGCAGAUAGGUAUAUUUUAUACGAACUCAAGGAACAUUCCACCUUCCUUUGUCCUAGUGGGCUCGUGUAGUUGUCUUAUACAGGGCAAAGUGCUUGGAGAACGAACAUAGAAUCAAGGUGUUCGUGAGAAAUCCUGAGGAAACAGGUAGAGCCCAAUUCUCUACUUGCUUUCAUACGCCGGUAAGGCACUGGCAAUUGAAGCUUCCAUGUCACAACAUGACCAGUGUGGUGGGUGGAUUGAUGACCCGGGAGGUUGGAACAGAGAGUUGUCUAAUCGAAAUUGCACCUUAUCCACAAACGGAGCAUCUAGAUGGUGCUGGGUUCAGCUACAAUGGUGGAAACUACGCCAGGUUCUCACAGAUGGAAUGCACAAAAGUGCCUUAAACUACUAUUAUAUGGUCCUCUAGAUUCCCGCCCCAAAAUGGCAUGCCCCAAGUACUUUUAUACCUGCAAUGAAAUCGGCACCCUACUUUGGAAGAUCA
Populus euphratica (Euphrates poplar) is the source of this 638-nucleotide long non-coding RNA. RefSeq lists it as uncharacterized. NCBI's taxonomy places the organism in Eukaryota, Viridiplantae, Streptophyta, Magnoliopsida, Malpighiales, Salicaceae. The record is from RefSeq and is a predicted model, not a curated record. The transcript is spliced from 2 exons.